ACUGAACGCUGGCGGCAUGCCUAAUACAUGCAAGUCGAACGGAAGCAUAGUAAGCUUUCGCCUUUACCGGUGGCGACUGGCGGACGGGUAAGGCAUAGAUCGGAUACUUCUUAUCCGUGGGGGACUACGUGGGGCAACAGAUGCUACCACCGCAUAUGUUGUACGGGUGAUAUCAGUGGUUAUUUGGAGUUUUCCUGACGCUUUGAUCUGAUUUCGUGUCGGAUUAGCUAGUUGGUAGGGUAAAGGCCCACCAAGGCGACGAUCCGUAGCUGGUCUGAGAGGAUGAUCAGCCACACUGGAACUGAGACACGGUCCAGACUCCUACGGGAGGCAGCAGUGGGGAAUAUUGGACAAUGGGCGCAAGCCUGAUCCAGCCAUACCGCGUGGGUGAAGAAGGCCUUCGGGUUGUAAAGCCCUUUUGUUGGGAAAGAAAAGCAGCAGGUUAAUACCCCGCUGUUCUGACGGUACCCAAAGAAUAAGCACCGGCUAACUUCGUG
This 497-nucleotide ribosomal RNA is filed under the name uncultured bacterium. RNAcentral describes it as "partial 16S ribosomal RNA". It matches the Rfam family "Bacterial small subunit ribosomal RNA", at positions 30 to 507 of the family's 1533-position model. The record is from RNAcentral.